Molecule: ribosomal RNA, 510 nt
Filed under: uncultured bacterium
Lineage: Bacteria
Description: bacterial SSU rRNA
Rfam family: Bacterial small subunit ribosomal RNA
Source: RNAcentral
GAGUUUGAUCAUGGCUCAGAUUGAACGCUGGCGGCAGGCCUAACACAUGCAAGUCGAGCGGUAGAGAGAAGCUUGCUUCUCUUGAGAGCGGCGGACGGGUGAGUAAUGCCUAGGAAUCUGCCUGGUAGUGGGGGAUAACGCUCGGAAACGGACGCUAAUACCGCAUACGUCCUACGGGAGAAAGCAGGGGACCUUCGGGCCUUGCGCUAUCAGGUGAGCCUAGGUCGGAUUAGCUAGUUGGUGAGGUAAUGGCUCACCAAGGCGACGAUCCGUAACUGGUCUGAGAGGAUGAUCAGUCACACUGGAACUGAGACACGGUCCAGACUCCUACGGGAGGCAGCAGUGGGGAAUAUUGGACAAUGGGCGAAAGCCUGAUCCAGCCAUGCCGCGUGUGUGAAGAAGGUCUUCGGAUUGUAAAGCACUUUAAGUUGGGAGGAAGGGCAGUAAAUUAAUACUUUAGCUGUUUUGACGUUACCGACAGAAUAAGCACCGGCUAACUCUGUGCCAGCA